UACGAAGGGGGCUAGCGUUGCUCGGAAUUACUGGGCGUAAAGGGCGCGUAGGCGGAUUGCUAAGUUGGAGGUGAAAGCCCAGGGCUCAACCUUGGAACUGCCUUCAAUACUGGCAAUCUUGAGUAUGAGAGAGGUGUGUGGAACUCCGAGUGUAGAGGUGAAAUUCGUAGAUAUUCGGAAGAACACCAGUGGCGAAGGCGACACACUGGCUCAUUACUGACGCUGAGGCGCGAAAGCGUGGGGAGCAAACAGG
RNAcentral lists this ribosomal RNA (253 nucleotides) under uncultured bacterium. RNAcentral describes it as "partial 16S ribosomal RNA". It matches the Rfam family "Bacterial small subunit ribosomal RNA", at positions 524 to 776 of the family's 1533-position model. The record is from RNAcentral.